This 253-nucleotide ribosomal RNA is filed under the name uncultured bacterium. RNAcentral's name for it is "partial 16S ribosomal RNA". It matches the Rfam family "Bacterial small subunit ribosomal RNA", at positions 524 to 776 of the family's 1533-position model. The record is from RNAcentral.
UACGUAGGGUGCAAGCGUUGUCCGGAAUUAUUGGGCGUAAAGAGCUCGUAGGCGGUCUGUCGCGUCUGCUGUGAAAACUCGGGGCUUAACCCCGGGCCUGCAGUGGGUACGGUCAGACUAGAGUGCGGUAGGGGAGACUGGAAUUCCUGGUGUAGCGGUGAAAUGCGCAGAUAUCAGGAGGAACACCGGUGGCGAAGGCGGGUCUCUGGGCCGUAACUGACGCUGAGGAGCGAAAGCAUGGGGAGCGAACAGG